Molecule: ribosomal RNA, 281 nt
Filed under: uncultured Burkholderiales bacterium
Lineage: Bacteria; Pseudomonadati; Pseudomonadota; Betaproteobacteria; Burkholderiales
Description: partial 16S ribosomal RNA
Rfam family: Bacterial small subunit ribosomal RNA
Source: RNAcentral
UGUGCCAGCAGCCGCGGUAAUACGUAGGGUGCAAGCGUUAAUCGGAAUUACUGGGCGUAAAGCGUGCGCAGGCGGUUUUGUAAGUCUGUCGUGAAAUCCCCGGGCUCAACCUGGGAAUUGCGAUGGAGACUGCAAGGCUAGAAUCUGGCAGAGGGGGGUAGAAUUCCACGUGUAGCAGUGAAAUGCGUAGAGAUGUGGAGGAACACCGAUGGCGAAGGCAGCCCCCUGGGUCAAGAUUGACGCUCAUGCACGAAAGCGUGGGGAGCAAACAGGAUUAGAUA